UGGGGAAUAUUGCGCAAUGGGCGAAAGCCUGACGCAGCAACGCCGCGUGUGGGAUGACAGCUUUCGGGUUGUAAACCACUUUCAGGGAUGACGAAAAUGACGGUAAUCCCAGAAGAAGCUCCGGCCAACUACGUGCCAGCAGCCGCGGUAACACGUAGGGAGCAAGCGUUGUCCGGAUUUAUUGGGCGUAAAGAGCUCGUAGGCGGUUUCGUAAGUCGGAUGUGAAAACUCAGGGCUCAACCCGGAGACGCCAUCUGAUACUGCGAUGACUAGAGUCCGGUAGAGGAGCAUGGAAUUCCUGGUGUAGCGGUGGAAUGCGCAGAUAUCAGGAGGAACACCUGAGGUGAAGACGGGUUGCUGGGCUGACACUGACGCUGAGGCGCGAAAGCCAGGGGAGCAAACGGGAUUAGAUACCCGGGUAGUCCCUGAGCGGGCUGGCAAGGCGCAU
RNAcentral lists this ribosomal RNA (448 nucleotides) under uncultured bacterium. Its description in RNAcentral is "bacterial SSU rRNA". It matches the Rfam family "Bacterial small subunit ribosomal RNA", at positions 355 to 825 of the family's 1533-position model. The record is from RNAcentral.